Nerophis ophidion (straightnose pipefish) is the source of this 4822-nucleotide long non-coding RNA. RefSeq lists it as uncharacterized. The record is from RefSeq and is a predicted model, not a curated record. The transcript is spliced from 3 exons. Lineage: Eukaryota; Metazoa; Chordata; Actinopteri; Syngnathiformes; Syngnathidae.
CUGGCAGGCUAGAGAUUGAUUGGCUUCUGAAGGCCCGCGGCUAACUACCUGCGAGGGCGAAAAGGGAAGCUUUCUGACAGGCGAAGACUUGGGAGUUGAGCGGACAAACAAGUCUGUUCUGAGAGCGCUUUUUUCCAAGAAGUUUCCGGUUCUGGCCUCAGCCACUGAGGCGAGGCUCUGGGGAAAGGUGGGCGGAAGACGUCGGGUCAAGGCCCACCGGUGCCAUGUCAAAAGGAGAGCCAGCAAGUGGUGGCGUAUAUGCUUACCGAGUCAAGGACAGACUCCAUGAACUCAGGCAUUGCACUGGAGAACGAUGCGCUGUUGUCAUCGCUGCUGCUGCUGCUGUCAUGAACCCGCGAAGCCGAGGCGCUUUCUUCGGGCAGGCAGCUCUGAUCUAAAGGUAGGGUCGGGGCGGCGGCCCGGUGAUGAGGUAAUGACAUCGCCACACCCUCUACUGUGUGGGUCAACGGGCUGUGGCUGGCCCAGCUUGGAUAAGGCAAGUUGAUCUGGUGAGAAAAAAGAAAUAUUAGUGAAAGACAGUGCAAGGGUAACAAGAAGAGAAGGGGCGUUAAAAUUGAAGAAAAGCAGAAAGGGAACUGAAGUUGGCAGGAGGGUGAUACUCAUUGUGUUGUGUUGCACAAGGGGUCGUGGAGACACACACACACACACACACAUACACACACACACACACACACGUGGCAAGACGAGGUCCUGUUUCAUCACUCCUGCAGCAACAGGCCCCCCAGAUGUUUCCUCCAUCGUAUUCACACAAAGCUAACCGCUGUCUUUUAAGCCCCCCGGGUCAGGCUAUGUGCACAUAAAUCCUGUUGUCAAAAACACACACACACACACACACACACACACACACACACACACACACACACACACACACACACACACAACUCACUGGUAGUGAUGGCUGUCCUCUCAGCUCGUUCUCUGUAGACAUGAGCAGCAUUUCGAUUUCUUUCACCCUCUUCUCUUUCUCAGGGUCCUCCUCACCAUAGUGUCUCUGAGUGAUGACAAAGAAGCAACAUAUAGGCUGUAAGGGCUAAUUCCUAAUAUUGCAAUCUAAUGGUUGUAGUAUCAUCACAAUGUAGUUCUUACCUGUGUAGCAGUGGUUCCAUGCUGAGGGAUGCUGAGAAAGUGCAAAGCCAAAGGGAAGGACACCUAUGUGGCCAAUCAGAAGCCAGUUGAGCAAACAAUCCAUAAAUACGUCAUACACCAAUUUGUGUUCAACUCACUCUUUGCGCGUCCGAUAUGUACUGGUAGCGGAGCGGUGAUGCGGGAGCCAGCUGCGUGUGACUGGACGAGUGGUGUGGGAACGUCAUGAGGUGGCCGCUGGGCUUAGUGUAGCCAUGGCCGACAGAGAGCGGCGAGCUGGUGCCCUUGGCAGCGCUCUGCAGGUAGCCCUCUUGCUCCACCUUGCGCCUCAUGGUGGAGUUCCAAUGGUUUUUUAUUGCGUUGUCGGUCCUUACGGGUGACACCAGGUUUUAGAAACACAAUGUUCACUCUUUUCAUGUUUAUGGACAAAUCCAACAAUCAAUCUUACCUGCCGGGGAGCAGCUUCGCGAUCUCAGCCCAGCGGUUGCCCAGUUUCUCGUGCGCCUGGUAGAUUAUGUGGUCCUCCUCCUCGGUCCACGAGGUCUUCUUCACCUCCGGGUUAAGGUGGUUAUGCCACCGCUCACGGCACUGCUUGCCGAUGCGUCCUUUCAGGUGCUUGGCGAUGACCGACCAGCGCUUGGCACCAUACUUCUGAACCAGCUCUAUUACCUGCAGGGGGAAGAGGAGCAGGUAGAAGGAUGGAUGGGAUGCAGAUAAAGAAAAAGGUGUGUCACUAUGAGAUUGACACCUUACAGAAGAAGUAGUUUGCCCCCUUCUUUAUCUCUGCGUAGGUGACUGAGAACACCUGCCGAGCGCUUAGGGAGUUUCCCGUUGAACGUUAGCUACCCUGCUAAUCAUUACAAUGGCAUCUGCAUGGAAAUGCAAGCACCCCUCGGACACGUCCAAUAAACACACUCAAGUUGGAUGGUGUUGUGUAACUUUUGUAGGGGAAGAGGUCUUGCUGGGAAAGAACUGUUCCUUAAAUUGUACGAAACACUAAUUUUUGGUCUUUUCGAUAGCUUGAGGGAAAUGAUCCCGGUUUUAGUCAGUCGGUGAGUAAGGAGGUCGAGAACAAAAAAUAAACACUUUUAAACUAUGAAUUCAGCUUGUUGAUGUACUAUCUCUCUGUAGUUUCUUUUGUGCAAUUUUAUGCGCAUCUUUCUCACUAAUUGUAUUUCUUCAUGCUGCUGCACCUGUGUUAUAUCGCACUCCCUUACAUCCAGUAUUGGAAGAUGUCAUUCUAAACUAUUCCUUUUCAGUGCUCUUGAUUCCCAGGGAAUAAUUAAGUUUUGUGCAUUUUCAUUUGUGUGUGUGUGUGCGUGUGUGUGAAACUUCCUGUUUACACUUUCUGGUGUGUCAAACUUGAUUUUUUUAAACAAUGGAUAGGUGUACUUCCGUAAACCGGUAAUUAUAAUCCGGUGCAACUCUAAUCUGCAGGAGUUUGCAAAAUGUCAAUGUCAAACCAAGAUAAAUCCAGAUUUAUACAUUAACACACAAUUUAGCAUACAUUUUUCUACAAAUAUUUUGCACUGCAGCUGUGUUAACUUGAUGGCCUUUAAGUGUUGUUUUUUUCCUUACCCGCUGGUCUUCUUCUUUGGUCCAGGGUCCUUUGAUUAACUCUGGGUUGAGGACCUUUUGCCAUCUGUGCUGACAGUGCACAUCUGUACGGUUCUGGUGGUCAAUCACAAAAAAACAACAUUAACCUACAGCGCGUGCCUUAUAAGUUCUCACUGUGGUGUGUACUUACGGAUAGUAAAUUGGCUAUUACUUUCCAGUCCUCUGAUCCGUGAAGUUCGACAAGUUUCUUCAACUUCUCAUCCUGGACAAUGAAAGGAUGCAAUGAGUUAAAUGGUCAAAGUGUUGUGUUUUUUUCAAGCAGUGAAAGGCAUACCUCUUCUCUUGUCCAGCGCGUUUUACCGAGGUGGCGUUUACCAGGCUUUGCCAUCAUGCCGUCGUAAUCGUGUUCGUACAGCUCAGCCUCUUCCUCAUCCUCCUCACUGCUGUAAACACUGAAACACAUAGAUCAGACAUGACCACAUACACUUUUAAAUAAUAACACAGUUACUUCUUGUUUUAUCCUUAUAAAUGAGUGCUGUACUAUGAAACACCCACACACGCAUGCACGCACGCACGCACGCACGCACGCACACACACACACACACACACACACACACAGAACCAGUCAUUCUUGAAGGUUUAGGUGCAGGCAUUUAGCCAAGACACCCACAAGAUGUGGAGGCAAAGGGGGGUGAUUUAUGGAUGAACAGGUUCUUAUGUUUUUGGUUUCUACAGAUACUGGGAUUGGCACAUGCAAUCGUAAUUUCACAAGCCCGGCAUGUUCAGACCUGCAGCCGGAUUGUACACUGGGUGCGGGCGCGCGCACACGCACGCACACUUCAGCCAAUCAGAAUGUAGAGCAAGCUCCAUGUGGAGGAGAGGUAAGGUAUUGCAGUGUAACAGGUGAACAGGAACUCCACUUCCCGAUCAACAGCUAUUCAAGUGUUUUUGGACAAUCAUGAUAAGUGUUAUGAUCAGCAUAGUUGACUUGCUGCUCACAAAUACCUCCCAUUUCUGUCCCAAAAUAACUUUUUUCCCUUUACUGCACCUGAGAUUUUGAAAAAAAAAAAAAAAACUACCUAGCGAGGCACCUAGAAAAUAAGGUUGGUCUUACUCAGCAGGAACUUUUGAGUGGUGAUCCUGCUGAAAAGCCCUGUUUGGUGUGAUUAAGAUUUUUUUUUUCCACCAUACUCAUUUCUAUUAUUUAGGGAAAAUUGAGCAAAAAAAGAUAAAUUAUUGGAUAUUCUUUGGGGGUAUAUAUCAGAGAAUCUCAAUUUUUUAAUGUACAGUACCUAUCUUACAUGUUUUGUAUUAGACUCACUUGCACUCGAUUAAAAGUCUGACCUAAUAUAAUAUGUCAGUCCAAAUGGAAGCUGUUAAGUGUAGUGGCAACGCAAAACCACAGAGAUGACCAAAUACCCUUCAUUUAGUUAUUAAUGAUCAAAGUGCAUAGAAAUCGGAAUGAUAACAAGACUAUUUGCAGGGGAAAAUGUGGAUUUAUUCUACAUUUACAGUGUGUAGAAAAGCAAGACUUUGGUGAUGCAGAAAAAAGUUGCAGACCUUUGCUAGGAGUAAGACAAGUGUGAAAGUGAAAAUGACCUGCAUUACUAUUACAAAUGCUGUUGGUCACACUUGCUUAGUAGAGUGCGUGGACACACACACACACACAUACACACACACACACACACACACACACACACACACACACACACACACACACACACACACACACACACAGCAGCCAAUCAGAAUGUAGAGCAGGCACAAUGUGGAGGCAAGUGUAGAAGCCUCAGUGCAACAGGUGAAUGAAAGCAUAUAGCGCUCCUCUUUCAUCUACCGAAUCAAAGGAUACAACCUCAUCUUUGAAGGUUUUACAGUCUACUUCGUUAAGUACAUUCCUGAUUGACCUGCUGCUCUCUCACCCACUUGUAUGGGAAACAAUUGACAAUUGGCGGCAGUCAUCUUAGUAAGUGUGAAAGUGAAAACGCGGCUUCCUUUGAUUUAAGCGGGAGCGCGCACCAGAUGACCACCACCUGUCAGCGGCGCGCGGGACCCAAGCCCCUUCCCCCCAAAAAAGCCUCAUCAGAACAAUAUCUCUUCUGGAACGUUAUGAAGGAAGCAGCGACGUCGACAUGCCAUCUUAAAAUAAAAUUUGAAGAAA